UGGUUAGGCCAUCGAUGAAGAACGCAGCGAAAUGCGAUAAGUAAUGUGAAUUGCAGAAUUUAGUGAAUCAUCGAAUCUUUGAACGCAUAUUGCGCUCCCUGGUAUUCCGGGGAGCAUGCCUGUUCGAGCGUCAUUGCAACCCUCACGCACUGCGUGGUCUUGGGCUCGCCCAGCAGGGCCUGCCUUAAAAUUAGUGGCGGCUUCUCCAGAACCCCCUCAGCGCAGUAUUGCUACCCGCUGCAGGAGGCCUGGAGCAGCUUGCUAAGCACCCCCCACACUCUAAAGGUUGACCUCGAAUCAGGUAGGGAUACCCGCUGA
Molecule: unclassified non-coding RNA, 318 nt
Filed under: uncultured fungus
Lineage: Eukaryota; Fungi
Description: partial contains 5.8S ribosomal RNA and internal transcribed spacer 2
Rfam family: 5.8S ribosomal RNA (bases 1-133)
Source: RNAcentral